GCUAAGUAGCCCUGAUGGGGGCUCUCAGAAAGGCACCCCAGGGCUUGGCGGUCGGCAUGGCUGCCCUCUGCCCGGAACCUGGGAUCUUGGAGGAACCCCUCUUUCCCCUCUAGUUAAGUAACCAAAUGUUUGCUGGACACACACAGCGUGGUCCCUUCAUGUGCCGGGUGUUUGGGGGAGGAGGGAUCAGAGGAGAGGACAGUCUUUGCUUUCUGGAGUUUGCUGCGGAAGCAUUAAUUAGGAGGACGAUAAAAGGCAAUGUCACAUUAAGAGCAUAACUGCUGGUUAGAAAUACGUUAUCGCUCUGGGCUCUAGGCUCCUGAAAGACAUGCCCACGUGUAGGCUGACGAGAUCAAGCUGCCAGCAUUAGAACGAGCCGCCACCUGCAAAAACAGGUUGUGGUUCCGAGUUGGUUUUGUGAAAGGAAUCGUCAGACCAACACCACCUGGGGGACAAAGCUGGAGGACGGCCCGACGUAACUCCCACUUGGAGGCUGAAGCAGCCGCAGAGAAGAGGGUACAAAGAUGGCGCUCUCCGUGGCCGCACCGCGCACCCAGCAUCCAGCCUCGCUCAAGACACUAGCGCUCCUUCAGACACAUGCGCAGUCGCUUCAGGUGCGUCCGACUCUUUGCGAACCCAUGGCCUGUAGCCCGCCAGGCUCCUCUGUCCACGGGAUUCUCCAGCUGUGCCCUGGGCUGCAUGGACAAAAGAACUACAUUUCCCAGCCUCCCUUGGAGCUGAAUGUGACCAUGUGACUCAGUUCUGACCAAUGGAAAGAAAGCAAUGAAUACAACCUCCUUUCCUUCCCCUCCCUUACCUCUGGCUGGACUUUGAAUUCCAAAACAGAUUUCUUGGUGCCUGGGCCCCUGAUCCCAUGGAGGGGCUGCACCAGCCCUGGGUCAUUUACACUGGGAUUGUU
Bos taurus (domestic cattle) is the source of this 919-nucleotide long non-coding RNA. NCBI's taxonomy places the organism in Eukaryota, Metazoa, Chordata, Mammalia, Artiodactyla, Bovidae. The record is from Ensembl.